RNAcentral lists this unclassified non-coding RNA (316 nucleotides) under Hevea brasiliensis (rubber tree). The record is from RNAcentral. Lineage: Eukaryota; Viridiplantae; Streptophyta; Magnoliopsida; Malpighiales; Euphorbiaceae.
GAGAACGAGCAAGAGAAGGGGGGCAGCUAUCUUGAAGAACAUAAAAGGUGUGGCUCAUUCUAUGUCUAUAACUGGAAGAGGUGCUGAUAAAGAGAGGGACAUUAAUAAUUCUCCAACAGCGGAGUCAAAACAAGGAGGCAAAAAUUCCUCAUCUUCUGGAUGGAUAAAGGUUAAGCAGACAGGGAAAUCUUACAAGGAGCUUAGUGCUUUGAAUUUGUGCCAAGAGAUUCAGGCUCAUGAAGGUUCCAUAUGGACCAUGAAGUUCAGUCCUGACACCCGAUUUCUUGCUAGUGGGGGAGAAGACAGGACUAUUCAU